AUGGGACCAGUACAGUGGCAUCAAUUCAGCCUCCAGGCACUCAGCGACCCUGAGGAUGUCCUUCAUGAGAGUGUGCAGUCAGCAGAAAACUUCAGAGAACGAAGUCGUGAUGUCAAGAAACAACAACCAAAUGAACAAAAUAGAAGCACCGUUGCUUUUCAAAGGUCAUCAUUCUUGAACGUAGUAGCACUCCACUGAGAGAGAAGAUAUGAAAUUCAUGAUCUUUAGUAGAGCACACGACAAGUUCACGUCACUUGCAGGUCAAAAUGCAGAUUUGCGUUUAGUAAGUCUGGAGUGAGGGUUGAGAUGCUGCCUUUAUCAACAAGCCUCCAUAUACUGCUGCUGCUGUUAUUGCUGGUGCUUCUGGUGCUGCAUUGCCCCUAGUUUGAGGAAGGAUCUAGCAGCUUUGCCUAUAAAAAUAAGUAAUGGAAAAAAUUAUUGAUCCUAUAAGCAGGGGAUUAGGGCAUAUCAAGCUGGCUGGACAACAGGAUGUAACAUAUCAAGCAUGGAGCAGUGAAAAGGAGGCUGAGCAAAUAAUGUAACUGUCAGUCGUGGAAAACUGUCAAGUCUUCCGUGAGCAGAAUAAUUUCCAAAAGACUGGAUCUGAAAAGUUGUAGUAAAAGAUGCUAAUCAUUGACUUCAGAGCCAUGGCUGUCUUUGUUCUCACAGUGGCCUGUAACUACAUGUGUAAUGUAUUUUCGAUUUUCUUCUCUUUUUACAUGUCCCCUCUUCACUUUUUAGUUUUUAUUCUUUUAUUUUAAAUAAAUGCUUCCUUAUCACACACAUCAAUUGUUCUGGCCAGUUCUUUGGAUGAGACUGCAAGAUGCUAGAACCACUGGACACCUUGCUGCCUGGCAACAUCUUGGAGGUGGAAGCACUGGUAUGUCGGCCU
RNAcentral lists this long non-coding RNA (892 nucleotides) under Cavia porcellus (domestic guinea pig). Its description in RNAcentral is "lncRNA (ENSCPOG00000034281.1)". Lineage: Eukaryota; Metazoa; Chordata; Mammalia; Rodentia; Caviidae. The record is from RNAcentral.